Vespula pensylvanica (western yellowjacket) is the source of this 306-nucleotide long non-coding RNA. RefSeq lists it as uncharacterized. The record is from RefSeq and is a predicted model, not a curated record. The transcript is spliced from 2 exons. Lineage: Eukaryota; Metazoa; Arthropoda; Insecta; Hymenoptera; Vespidae.
UCUUAACACAGACAAACCAAGAGAAAUUAGAACGAGUUAGAUCGUUGAUAGAUGAGAUAUAUAUACAUACAUAUAUAUGUGCAUAUAUAUCUUUAUAUAUCUAGGUACUUGAGAAAUUUAUAACGAGCAAAGGUCACAUCGUAUCUUUGCUAAACUAGGAAACGGAUUACUUUGAAUUCGCGAGUAAGAUUGUCAAGAUACGAGCUCAAGAAUUUUUUGCUCGUCCAUUCUGUGAAAUAUAAUAUUGAAACAGUUCGAUUUUCGUGUUUUGUGUUGUUAUUACUAAAAAUAAAGGAGAAAAGAAAA